GCUCACCAAGGCAACGAUGCGUAGCCGACCUGAGAGGGUGAUCGGCCACACUGGGACUGAGACACGGCCCAGACUCCUACGGGAGGCAGCAGUAGGGAAUCUUCCGCAAUGGACGAAAGUCUGACGGAGCAACGCCGCGUGAGUGAUGAAGGCUUUCGGGUCGUAAAACUCUGUUGUUAGGGAAGAACAAGUGCUAGUUGAAUAAGCUGGCACCUUGACGGUACCUAACCAGAAAGCCACGGCUAACUACGUGCCAGCAGCCGCGGUAAUACGUAGGUGGCAAGCGUUAUCCGGAAUUAUUGGGCGUAAAGCGCGCGCAGGUGGUUUCUUAAGUCUGAUGUGAAAGCCCACGGCUCAACCGUGGAGGGUCAUUGGAAACUGGGAGACUUGAGUGCAGAAGAGGAAAGUGGAAUUCCAUGUGUAGCGGUGAAAUGCGUAGAGAUAUGGAGGAACACCAGUGGCGAAGGCGACUUUCUGGUCUGUAACUGACACUGAGGCGCGAAAGCGUGGGGAGCAAACAGGAUUAAAUACGCUGGUAGUCCACGCCGUAAACGAUGAGUGCUAAAUGUUAGAGGGUUUCCNCCCUUUAUUGCUGAAGAUAACGCAUUAAACACNCCGCCUGGGGAGUACGGCCCCAGGC
Molecule: ribosomal RNA, 640 nt
Filed under: Bacillus thuringiensis
Lineage: Bacteria; Bacillati; Bacillota; Bacilli; Caryophanales; Bacillaceae
Description: bacterial SSU rRNA
Rfam family: Bacterial small subunit ribosomal RNA
Source: RNAcentral